CUGAUCUCAAAUCAGGUAGGAAUACCCGCUGAACUUAAGCAUAUCAAUAAGCGGAGGAAAAGAAACUAACAAGGAUUCCCCUAGUAACGGCGAGUGAAGCGGGAAGAGCUCAAAUUUAAAAUCUGGCAGUGUAUUCUGUCCGAG
RNAcentral lists this ribosomal RNA (144 nucleotides) under uncultured fungus. RNAcentral describes it as "partial 28S ribosomal RNA". It matches the Rfam family "Eukaryotic large subunit ribosomal RNA", at positions 1 to 142 of the family's 3401-position model. The record is from RNAcentral. Lineage: Eukaryota; Fungi.